GAUGAACGCUGGCGGCGUGCUUAACACAUGCAAGUCGAGCGGGCAAUUUAUCUAGCACUGAUUACUUCAAAUGGAAAUCAUAAGUGUAAUCAUGAAUUUCUACCUUUAAUAAAGAAAAAGAAAUUCAUGUACGCAAAUAGUGAUAACACAUUUUAGUGGAGUGAUGAGUGCUGGAUAAAUUGCUAGCGGCGGACGGGUGCGUAACACGUGGGUAACCUGCCCCUAUCACUGGGAUAACACACUGAAAAGUGUGCUAAUACCAGAUAAUAUAAGCUUUUGGCAUCAUUAGCUUAUCAAAGAAUUUCGGAUAGGGAUGGGCCCGCGUCUGAUUAGCUAGUUGGUGAGGUAACGGCUCACCAAGGCAACGAUCAGUAGCCGACCUGAGAGGGUGGAUCGGCCACACUGGAACUGAGACACGGUCCAGACUCCUACGGGAG
RNAcentral lists this ribosomal RNA (437 nucleotides) under uncultured bacterium. Its description in RNAcentral is "bacterial SSU rRNA". It matches the Rfam family "Bacterial small subunit ribosomal RNA", at positions 28 to 347 of the family's 1533-position model. The record is from RNAcentral.